GGAGAGAUGGCUGAGCGGCUGAAAGCGCGUCCCUGCUAAGGACGUAAGGGUGAAAGCUCUUCGAGGGUUCGAAUCCCUCUCUCUCCG
RNAcentral lists this transfer RNA (87 nucleotides) under Patescibacteria group bacterium. RNAcentral describes it as "tRNA-Ser". It matches the Rfam family "tRNA". From Rfam's summary of the family: Transfer RNA (tRNA) molecules are approximately 80 nucleotides in length. The record is from RNAcentral.